CGUGGGCAAUCUGCCCUGCACUCUGGGACAAGCCCUGGAAACGGGGUCUAAUACCGGAUACGACCACUGAGGGCAUCCUCGGUGGUGGAAAGCUCCGGCGGUGCAGGAUGAGCCCGCGGCCUAUCAGCUUGUUGGUGGGGUGAUGGCCUACCAAGGCGACGACGGGUAGCCGGCCUGAGAGGGCGACCGGCCACACUGGGACUGAGACACGGCCCAGACUCCUACGGGAGGCAGCAGUGGGGAAUAUUGCACAAUGGGCGAAAGCCUGAUGCAGCGACGCCGCGUGAGGGAUGACGGCCUUCGGGUUGUAAACCUCUUUCAGCAGGGAAGAAGCGAGAGUGACGGUACCUGCAGAAGAAGCGCCGGCUAACUACGUGCCAGCAGCCGCGGUAAUACGUAGGGCGCGAGCGUUGUCCGGAAUUAUUGGGCGUAAAGAGCUCGUAGGCGGCUUGUCACGUCGGUUGUGAAAGCCCGGGGCUUAACCCCGGGUCUGCAGUCGAUACGGGCA
RNAcentral lists this ribosomal RNA (508 nucleotides) under Streptomyces sp. SCAU5130. RNAcentral's name for it is "bacterial SSU rRNA". It matches the Rfam family "Bacterial small subunit ribosomal RNA", at positions 116 to 638 of the family's 1533-position model. The record is from RNAcentral. Lineage: Bacteria; Bacillati; Actinomycetota; Actinomycetes; Kitasatosporales; Streptomycetaceae.